This 587-nucleotide long non-coding RNA is filed under the name Nicotiana benthamiana. RNAcentral's name for it is "long non-coding RNA (NBEN_LNC014057)". Lineage: Eukaryota; Viridiplantae; Streptophyta; Magnoliopsida; Solanales; Solanaceae. The record is from RNAcentral.
CCCAAAUACAUUGCAGGAUUGAGUCAUACUGCAGUGUGGAAAGGCCAACCCUCAAUUAUCCAUGUUUAGAGGGAACUCAAGGUCCCAAGGCAAGGCUCACAGGAGGGGGCAAAACUUAGAAGCUAAGAGUGAGUGUAAGUGCAGAGAGGGAAUUCUGAAAAGGGGAAAAGGAAGUGGCAAAGGGAAACGAUAGGCUAGUGGGCAUACCUAGCAAUGGGAAAUGCUGGUACACUCCACAAGUCUGUUAAAACACAUUGUUUUGGGAGCUAGGAUCCCCUAAUGGAUCAUGUCCAAAUAUGAACAAUAACUUGCAUAUUGCCACAUCCUGAACUAUAACUCAAAGCACAUAAAGGGAAAUAGGGUGCAGGGAUAUAUAGGAGAAAUAAAUAACAGGAAAUUAACAUGCUAGUCAACAUUUAACUCCACAUAGACAGUAAAAUAGACAUAGAAAUGUAAAGGCUAUAAGUAAGCACAUUGAGAUGAUACAGAAGCUAAAACUAGAACAUACCACUCUUUAAGAAACACGUAAGAAGAAAGCAGUACUCUUGUAAAGCCAAAGUGUAAAUAGGCAGCCAGAAUACUAUGAG